UCCAUCUUUCAUUUCACCACUUCGUAAUUUCUUUAAUUUUUGGGUUACAGAGAAUUGACAAACUUAUGUGAGAUCUACAAUCAUUGCUGAGUAUAAUGGUACCAAUCAAAAAGACUGAUCUUGCAAAUGAUAUGAGUUAGAGCAAAUAAUACAGAGGUGUGUCGCAUCAAAGAGUGUGUCAAUGAUAAGUGAGUGAGAGGAGUGGCAGCCAAUCACAGAGCAUCUUACAAACCUCUUGCUAGGCUCCAGGUGCAAGCUUCAUCUGAACGCACUAUAAUACCACUGAAGCAGGUAACUCUAGCACCAUCACCGAUUCAUAUACAGAGAAAGGGAAAGGUACCAGCUGAUAAGCUUCAAACUCAUCCUUUGACUUGAAGGGAACAUGAAUGACUAUAGCUUCCAACGUCAAGAAUGAGUCCAGCUAAGGACAGUAGUGGUGUAUGGCAUGCACAUCAAACAAAGGUGUUAGUUGGUGUUCUUCCUCUCUUAUUUUUAAAGCCCUUUGUAAAUCUUUGACAGAGGAACGAGAAGUAACCCUACCACGAUCUACAUCCACAACAUUCUGAAUUAUUAGUGCAUUAGUAUGGAGAACAAAGUUGACCACACUUUCCAAUGCAGGCAAGGCUUGUGCAACUAGUGCAAUUUCGUACAGAUUCCCCAUGCCGGUAAACACCUCGUUAAGGGCAGUCCCUAAGGCUCUAGAAAAAGAAGCAAUGUUUUGUACCGCAUGCUCAAGUUUGGCAAAGUGUAAAGAAUUCAUAUGAAUGGCUUCGUGUUGAGUAGCAGCAAGCGAGGCCAAGUGGUUAUACUUAUUCCGGAGGUCCUCCACAUCCUCAUCCAUUGCAGUUCCAAACAACAUGCGGGAAAAUUGCUUAAUUUCAUUGAUCAAACCCCGUUUAGUACGGUCAGAGAAGGAAAGGUCGGCGUAGUUAUCAAAAGCAAGGGUUAGAGUGUCAUUCAGGUACCUCAAGCGCUCAUGCAUCAUACGCGUGAUGAUGUCAAUAAGAUUUUGAUAGUAAAAGAGCCAGGUAGGACGCGUAGCAAUGGUUUUAAGUUAGACAAAUUCAGAUUCAACAAAGACAUAGGUAAGAAUUGGUUCGCCAAUAGAGUGGUGGACGAAUGGAACAGGCUUGGGGGCCAUGUUGUGGGUGCCAAUACCGUAGAUACAUUCAAGAAGAGGUUAGAUAAAGCCAUGGAUGGUGAGGUAAGGUGGGGUUGAGUGUACAGGAGCUGCCUUGUAUAGGCCAACCGGUCUCUUGCAGACUCCUUACGUUCUUAUGUUCUUAUGUUCUUAUGCUGAAGUCUGCUAACGACAGAGCGCAAGACAUCUAAAAUUUUCCUAUUAGCGCGUUCAACAAGGUCGUUGCUGGCUGGGUGAUAACUGACUGUAAAACUUUGUUUUAUGCCAAAUUGCAUAUUUCUUCUAAAACUAGGCGUGGAGUAUGGAUAAAAUAGAUGAGUUACUAGGGCAUGAGCAAUGGACUUAUCAGAUUUAUCUUUCACCGGGGCCAAAACAACGUAUCGAGACAAGUGAUCUACGCCAACCAAAAGAUACUUAGAGCCCUGGGCCCAGAUUCACUAACGCCUCGCAGAUACGACAAUCUUAAGUGGAUCCAAUAUGGCGGAAAUAAGAAUGUCGUAUCUUGCGAUUCCCAAAAGAAUCUUAAGUCCGCCAUGUUUAGAUUUUCCUGCCUUAACGCUGUUUCACACUCCCGCCGACAGACGGCGUAGUAUGAUGUUGACAUAUUUCGUUCAACCAAUGGCAGCGCUCGAUACAUACGUACUCUAGAGACAGUAGCCAAUCACCACCAGUGCAGCACGUGGCCCGUGACAGAGGCAGGCGAUGUUGUCUGCCCCACCGGGAGUACGGAGAUGAAGUGAGGAAGUUCAGGAGACUGAGUGUAACCUGUAAGUGUAGUGGGUGCUACAACACCUAGCAGCCCAUAUGUCCCAGCAGUGGUGCAGCGUCGGACCCUUAAACUUCCAGGCAGGAGACACAAGAUGGACACAAGAUAAAAGAUUCUGAAGCAAGACCAAGCAUAUAUUACUGGAUAGUUUGCAGAAAUGUGUAGAUUUCCUUGAAUCGUCUCAACCAGAAUGACCGCAAUAGCUGGACCUUUACAGGACUUUGUUGAAUAUUGCAGGGCAUGAAAUUCUGUAUUUCUUAUGCAUCACUAAAGGUCUCUUUUGAUUUCUUCAAACAUGUUUUGUAUUUGCAAUUUAUUUAAUUGUUUUCUGUUGGAAAUAACAUAUAAAAAGAUGUUUAAUAGCAAGCUGUGAAGAAUUGCUCCAAAUAGUACACACCACGGUGCUAUAUGCUUUACAUUUUAUUAAGAGUAUAAUAAGCUCAGCCAUAUUGUCCUGCAGUUAAUUUUUAGUCAGAUAAUUUCUCCCCUUUUUUUACAAUUUAAGUUGUGAUUGUGUUCAUGUAUACCAGCAGCUCUUUCUUUAAUUAUAUUAGUAAAGAAGUUGUUAUUAUAUAUAUGAAGUCAGAUUAAGUGACUUUCAAAAGCAAUAUAAUUAAGUCCAUUUAGCCUGUGUCACUCUCAAAGUUAUACGCCUCCGUGGUCUACUGGUUAGCGUGCCUGGCUUCUACUCCGCAGGCCCGGGUUCGAAUCCCGGCCCAGGCAGUCUGCGUGCAGCUCACCCAGCUGUUCAUCCUCCCUCUUGGGCUGGUCGAUAAAUGGAUAUCUGGGGAAAUCUGGGGAAGGUAAUCUGUGGUAACCCAAAUAUCACACUGGCCCUGUGUCCCGGGGUAAUGGGGGCUCCCUUCCACCACAGUCUCAAGGGCCAAUGUUACGAAGAUGAGCACCGAGGCCAUGCGCUGCUACUACGUAUCCCCCCAACUUUACUACUCUUACUCUCAAAGUAUAUAAUUGUGUGUUUGUGUGUAUGUGAGUGUGUGUGUGUGUGUCACAUCCUGGAAAGCCCAAGACUUCUCUCAAAACUCUGAUGACUCAAGAAAGAGUCUGGCUUCCAGCUAUAUCUUGAGAGCCAACAGUCAUCGUGGAAAUUUUCUAGGUAUAGUGGAAUGUGUUUUGACAGUGGGCAGUGCCAUUGUUUUUGAAGAACUCUACCGAGUUCUUAACGAAACACCCAUACACCAAUUUGCUCGAUGAUUUCCUCUAUUUUAUUGCCAGUACACUAUUUAACACAUUUAAAUAUUUAAUAAUGUAUAUAUCAAUGCCCACUUUUUCAUUAUGUUCUCAACUUGUGCCAGCAACAUAUGAGUCAGUACUUUAGUAAAGUUAGGUUACAUAAAUGAAAAAAGUGCAUAUUUGAGUUAAAAACAGAAACAGUAUUUUCUUGUCAAUACCCAAAAAAUAACUUGAAUUUCAAGGUGAGAAAGAUUUUUUUUAUAGUCUAUGGACAAAGAACCUUUAUUUUCUGGUUUUAAUGUUGUGCUAUAAGUAGAAUAUGAAGUAAUUAUAUAUUUUUCACUUAACAUGAAAUAAAUAUCAAUAUAUAUAAAUAUUUUGCCUCAACCUAAAAUUAUAAAAUACUUUUUCAAUUAUAGUAGCUAUGAAACUAUGAGUGGGAAUACAACUGGGUGAUGAAUCAAACCUUGACAGGUGUUGCUAGGUUGCUAAUUUACCAGCAAUAGGUUACCAUGUGAUGGAGAUGAGCACCGAGGCCACACACAGCUAUGCGUAUGCCCCCAACUUCACCCUACCCUUACUAGACACAUCAUCUAUAACACCCAGUAAAACUAGCAUACUAAAUAGUAAAUGUAAUACCUUAAUACAGUAAAUAUCAUUGAGACAAGAAUGAGCCAUGGGAUGACUCAAUUACCAAAAUAUCCAACAAACAUAUAAUGCAUGUUGCAAAGAAUGGGUAAUUGCUUAGCAGGAGCAGUCUAUUUGAGAUGCAAAUUACUUAUUUCCUGUGAUAUGUUAUGAUGCUUUUUAAUGGGGCUCUGUUUAUUACCACAAUAAUUCAGCUAUGAAAGUGCUACAGCAAAUUUACCCCAGAAUUCACUAUAACAAGCUCUGCGGCAUAUAUUGUCCAGCCGUCUUCACUCCCAAAUCUAUUUACAAACUAACAGACUCAUUUUAACCUAGUGGAUGGUAACCUAACUCUGCUAAAAUUGUAACCUAUAAUUGCCGCUGGGGAUAGUAGCCUAUCGUUACAGAGGAGAGUAAACUGUCAACCCAAGUAUGAGACUCACCAAAUCAACUCUAGUACUUUCAUAAUUGCUUCCUGGUGAUAACUAACUCCACAAAAAAAGACAUGAUAAUUUACCCAGUAAUGAAUAGUUUGUGUCUCUAAAAUAGGUCGCUAAAAUCUGCUAAACAAUGGCAA
This is a long non-coding RNA of Eriocheir sinensis (Chinese mitten crab), 4302 nucleotides long. RefSeq lists it as uncharacterized. The record is from RefSeq and is a predicted model, not a curated record. The transcript is spliced from 2 exons. Lineage: Eukaryota; Metazoa; Arthropoda; Malacostraca; Decapoda; Varunidae.